RNAcentral lists this ribosomal RNA (287 nucleotides) under uncultured bacterium. RNAcentral's name for it is "partial 16S ribosomal RNA". It matches the Rfam family "Bacterial small subunit ribosomal RNA", at positions 333 to 637 of the family's 1533-position model. The record is from RNAcentral.
GAGUUCCUACGGGAGGCAGCAGUGGGGGAUAUUGCACAAUGGGGGGAACCCUGAUGCAGCGACGCCGCGUGGGCGAUGGAGUGCUUCGGCAUGUAAAGCCCCAUCAGCAGGGAAGAAAAUGACGGUACCUGACUAAGAAGCCCCGGCUAAAUACGUGCCAGCAGCCGCGGUAAUACGUAUGGGGCAAGCGUUAUCCGGAUUUACUGGGUGUAAAGGGAGCGUAGACGGCUGCGCAAGUCCGGAGUGAAAGCCCACGGCCCAACCGUGGGACUGCUCUGGAAACUGUG